RNAcentral lists this ribosomal RNA (777 nucleotides) under Lactarius cinereus. Its description in RNAcentral is "eukaryotic LSU rRNA". The stretch from base 297 to 450 matches the Rfam family "5.8S ribosomal RNA". Lineage: Eukaryota; Fungi; Basidiomycota; Agaricomycetes; Russulales; Russulaceae. The record is from RNAcentral.
UCUUGGUCANUUUAGAGGAAGUAAAAGUCGUAACAAGGUUUCCGUAGGUGAACCUGCGGAAGGAUCAUUAUCGUACAAAAUGUGUGAGGCAUGCAAGGGCUGUCGCUGACUUUUUAUAGUCGUGCACGCCAGAGCAUGUCCUCUCACAUAAAAUCCAUCUCACCCUUUUGUGCACCACCGCGUGGGCGCCCUUCGGGAUCGAUUCGAUCCAGGAAGGGGGCUUGCGUUUUCACACAAACCCCUUUUUAAAAAAAGUGUAGAAUGACCUCAUUUUUGCAAUAAAACGCAAUCAAUACAACUUUCAACAACGGAUCUCUUGGCUCUCGCAUCGAUGAAGAACGCAGCGAAAUGCGAUACGUAAUGUGAAUUGCAGAAUUCAGUGAAUCAUCGAAUCUUUGAACGCACCUUGCGCCCCUUGGUAUUCCGAGGGGCACACCCGUUUGAGUGUCGUGAAAAUCUCAACCUUCUCGGUUUCUUCUGGACACCGAAGGGAGGCUUGGACUUUGGAGGCCUUUGCUGGCAUCUCUCUCUUUUGAGAAAGGGUCAGCUCCUCUCAAAUGAAUUAGCGGGGUCCUCUUUGCCGACCCUCGACAUGUGAUAAGAUGUUUCCAUGUCUUGGUUUAUGGCUCUGUUGCCUUUGGGACCCGCUUCUAAUCGUCUCGAGACAAUGUUCGAGCGUGUCUCCCUUCUCGGGAAACACUCUCGAACCCACGAACCCUUGACCUCAAAUCGGGUGAGACUACCCGCUGAACUUAAGCAUAUCAAUAAGCGGAGGAA